CGGGUGAGUAACACGUGAGUAAUCCACCCUCGGUACCGGAAUAGCCCGGGGAAACUCGGAUUAAUGCCGGAUGGCCCAUUUGCUCUUCGGAGCUGAAUGGAAAAGAUAGCUUCGGCCUUCGACCGGGGACGAGCUCGCGGCGGAUUAGCUUGUUGGCGGGGUAACGGCCCACCAAGGCGACGAUCCGUAGCUGGUCUGAGAGGACGAUCAGCCACACUGGGACUGAGACACGGCCCAG
RNAcentral lists this ribosomal RNA (238 nucleotides) under uncultured bacterium. RNAcentral describes it as "partial 16S ribosomal RNA". It matches the Rfam family "Bacterial small subunit ribosomal RNA", at positions 103 to 334 of the family's 1533-position model. The record is from RNAcentral.